RNAcentral lists this ribosomal RNA (433 nucleotides) under uncultured bacterium. RNAcentral describes it as "partial 16S ribosomal RNA". It matches the Rfam family "Bacterial small subunit ribosomal RNA", at positions 29 to 507 of the family's 1533-position model. The record is from RNAcentral.
AACGAACGCUGGCGGCAUGCCUAACGCAUGCGAGUCGAACGAGACCUUCGGGUCUAGUGGCGCACGGGUGCGUAACGCGUGGGAACCUGCCCUUAGGUUCGGAAUAACUCCCCGAAAGGGGUGCUAAUACCGGAUAAUGUCUUCGGACCAAAGAUUUAUCGCCUUUGGAUGGGCCCGCGUUGGAUUAGCUAGUUGGUAGGGUAAAAGCCUACCAAGGCGACGAUCCAUAGCUGGUCUGAGAGGAUGAUCAGCCACACUGGGACUGAGACACGGCCCAGACUCCUACGGGAGGCAGCAGUGGGGAAUAUUGGACAAUGGGCGAAAGCCUGAUCCAGCAAUGCCGCGUGAGUGAUGAAGGCCUUAGGGUUGUAAAGCUCUUUUACCCGGGAUGAUAAUGACAGUACCGGGAGAAUAAGCGCCGGCUAACUCCGUG